CAGUUACAAGACCUAGAAGUUUCAGCUGUAGAGUAGAAAUGCUUAGGAUUUGGGAGUGAACAGACUCAGGACUAUUGAGAGAUUGAGGUCCACUUCAGCAGUUUGUCUUUAGCAUGAGAGACUCAUUCAACUUCUGUUCUUGGCAGGCAGUUAACAAGAUCAAAGAGAUUGCUGUGACCGUGAAGAAGGCAGAUAAAGUGGAGCAGAGGAAGCUGCUGGAAAAGUGUGCCAUGACCGCUCUGAGCUCCAAGCUGAUCUCCCAGCAGAAAGCUUUCUUUGCUAAGAUGGUGGUGGAUGCAGUGAUGAUGCUCGAUGAUUUGCUGCAGCUUAAAAUGAUUGGAAUCAAGAAGGUACAGGGUGGAGCCCUCGAGGAUUCUCAGCUGGUAGCUGGCGUUGCAUUCAAGAAGACUUUCUCUUACGCUGGGUUUGAAAUGCAACCCAAAAAGUACCACAAUCCCAAGAUUGCCCUUUUGAAUGUCGAGCUCGAGUUGAAAGCUGAGAAAGACAAUGCUGAGAUAAGAGUCCACACAGUUGAGGAUUAUCAGGCAAUUGUUGAUGCUGAGUGGAACAUUCUCUAUGACAAGUUAGAGAAGAUCCAUCAUUCUGG
Molecule: small RNA, 607 nt
Filed under: Pan troglodytes (chimpanzee)
Lineage: Eukaryota; Metazoa; Chordata; Mammalia; Primates; Hominidae
Description: retained intron
Source: RNAcentral